GACGAACGCUGGCGGUGUGCUUAACACAUGCAAGUCGAACGGUAAGGCCCUUUCGGGGGUCCACGAGUGGCGAACGGGUGAGUAACACGUGAGUAACCUGCCCUCAUCUCUGGGAUAACAGUCGGAAACGGUUGCUAAUACUGGAUAUGAGCUUGCAAGGCAUCUUGUGGGUUGGAAAGAUUUUUUUGGUUGGGGAUGGACUCGCGGCCUAUCAGCUUGUUGGUGAGGUAGUGGCUCACCAAGGCUUCGACGGGUAGCCGGCCUGAGAGGGCGACCGGCCACAUUGGGACUGAGAUACGGCCCAAACUCCUACGGGAGGCAGCAGUGGGGAAUAUUGCACAAUGGACGGAAGUCUGAUGCAGCAACGCCGCGGGCGGGAUGACGGCCUUCGGGUUGGAAACCGCUUUCAAUUGUGACGAAGCUUUUUGUGACGGUAGCAGUAGAAGAAGCACCGGCUAACUACGUG
RNAcentral lists this ribosomal RNA (466 nucleotides) under uncultured bacterium. Its description in RNAcentral is "partial 16S ribosomal RNA". It matches the Rfam family "Bacterial small subunit ribosomal RNA", at positions 28 to 507 of the family's 1533-position model. The record is from RNAcentral.